AUGAACGCUGGCGGCGUGCCUAAUACAUGCAAGUCGAGCGAACAGACGAGGAGCUUGCUCCUCUGACGUUAGCGGCGGACGGGUGAGUAACACGUGGAUAACCUACCUAUAAGACUGGGAUAACUUCGGGAAACCGGAGCUAAUACCGGAUAAUAUAUUGAACCGCAUGGUUCAAUAGUGAAAGACGGUUUUGCUGUCACUUAUAGAUGGAUCCGCGCCGCAUUAGCUAGUUGGUAAGGUAACGGCUUACCAAGGCGACGAUGCGUAGCCGACCUGAGAGGGUGAUCGGCCACACUGGAACUGAGACACGGUCCAGACUCCUACGGGAGGCAGCAGUAGGGAAUCUUCCGCAAUGGGCGAAAGCCUGACGGAGCAACGCCGCGUGAGUGAUGAAGGUCUUCGGAUCGUAAAACUCUGUUAUUAGGGAAGUACAAAUGUGUAAGUAACUAUGCACGUCUUGACGGUACCUAAUCAGAAAGCCACGGCUAACUACGUG
RNAcentral lists this ribosomal RNA (496 nucleotides) under uncultured bacterium. Its description in RNAcentral is "partial 16S ribosomal RNA". It matches the Rfam family "Bacterial small subunit ribosomal RNA", at positions 29 to 507 of the family's 1533-position model. The record is from RNAcentral.